This is a long non-coding RNA of Peromyscus californicus insignis, 1264 nucleotides long. RefSeq lists it as uncharacterized. The record is from RefSeq and is a predicted model, not a curated record. The transcript has 2 exons. Lineage: Eukaryota; Metazoa; Chordata; Mammalia; Rodentia; Cricetidae.
ACUGCGCAUGUAGAGUGCUUGGAAAUCCUGUAGGGAGGACGCCUCACUGCGGGGUGACCUUGUUUUAUACAGAUCCACUUCGGGGGCCCCAAAUGACUUCAGGACUUUCUAGAGGGAACCGCAGCAGUUUCCCCUCAAAUCUUACUCCGUGGAGAAGUGGGGGCACUGUCGAUUUAAAUCCACACUUUGCUAAGAUUAUCUACCGAACACAUUUUUUAUGGAGGGCGUAUUGUGUGCCGGGCACACAACAACAUCUUCCCUGAGAAGCACAUCACGUGUUUAGGCAGUUCUCAGGUGCCAUGGAAAUUGGGCAAAGGAACAGCGGCUCUGAACGGUUUCUGCCCUUGAGUUGCUCCUGCGCUAGCUGGAGGGGAAAGGUGUAGGUGAUGCUUCACAACACCACAGGAAACGGCUCAGAGAGCUCUCUGAUGGCAGUGGAGCUGUGUUGGUACAUUCCUAUGGUGAAAUACAGUGCAGCAAUCAAAAGUGAAUGGGCGAUCUUGAAGGCAAUGUUGGAUGAAAAAGCGAAUCGCAAGAGAAUGUGAUAUUAAUGCAAUGUUAGUGUCUAUUAACAUAACACUAACAAACUACAAAAACACAGGAGGUGGUGUCUGCAUGCUACCAUGAAGUUCUCUCUCGGCCAGUUCAUCUACUACAGCUUGGAUGUGUUUUUGGGUGUUCCCUGAGUAUUCAUGUGUUGAGACUUAAUCUCCAUAUUAACAUGCUGAGAAGGAGGAAACGUAAUUUGACUAUGGUGGUUGGAGAUGCUUCCUUUCAAAGGUGAUUAGGAUUAGAUAUCCAGAUGGAAUCCCCAUUACUGAAUUGUUGUGACUUCGGAAAAAGAGAGACCAGAAAACAUGCCUCCUCCUCCCAUCUCUUGACUUGUAAUUUUCUCUGUCUUGACAGGACUCCUCCAACAAGAAAGUAUUACCAAAAUGCAGCUCCUUAACCUUACACCUUCAGGACUGUAAGCCAGAAUAAAUUUAUUUCUUCAUGAAGUAGCCUGACAAAGGUGUUUCUUGAGAGCAACAAAUCAAAAACUGAUGCAUCCUUUUUACUUUAGCAUUCAGUAGUUGCUCAUGGUUCAUAAGCUAUACGGUCUUCCAUACUCUAGCCCAUUCUACAUUUUAUUAUCAUUUCAGCCUCCUUCCCAAUACCUUAGUGUCUUUGUGACUUCAGCCAUGUUGUUCAUUGCUUGGAAUGCUGUUCCUUUCCUUUCUUCCUGGGGAAUCACAUUCAUCCCACACAAUAAAAUUUAAAUGCA